UACGGGGGGAGCAAGCGUUGUUCGGAUUUACUGGGCGUAAAGGGCGCGUAGGCGGUCAGCACAAGUCAGUUGUGAAAUCUCCGGGCUUAACUCGGAAAGGUCAACUGAUACUGUGCGACUAGAGUGCAGAAGGGGCAACUGGAAUUCUCGGUGUAGCGGUGAAAUGCGCAGAUAUCGAGAGGAACACCUGCGGCGAAGGCGGGUUGCUGGGCUGACACUGACGCUGAUGCGCGAAAGCCAGGGGAGCGAACGGG
This 254-nucleotide ribosomal RNA is filed under the name uncultured bacterium. RNAcentral's name for it is "partial 16S ribosomal RNA". It matches the Rfam family "Bacterial small subunit ribosomal RNA", at positions 524 to 776 of the family's 1533-position model. The record is from RNAcentral.